Molecule: ribosomal RNA, 334 nt
Filed under: uncultured Massilia sp.
Lineage: Bacteria; Pseudomonadati; Pseudomonadota; Betaproteobacteria; Burkholderiales; Oxalobacteraceae
Description: bacterial SSU rRNA
Rfam family: Bacterial small subunit ribosomal RNA
Source: RNAcentral
CGGAACGUACCCUGGAGUGGGGGAUAACGUAGCGAAAGUUACGCUAAUACCGCAUACGAUCUAAGGAUGAAAGCAGGGGACCGCAAGGCCUUGUGCUCCUGGAGCGGCCGAUAUCUGAUUAGCUAGUUGGUGGGGUAAAGGCCUACCAAGGCAUCGAUCAGUAGCUGGUCUGAGAGGACGACCAGCCACACUGGAACUGAGACACGGUCCAGACUCCUACGGGAGGCAGCAGUGGGGAAUUUUGGACAAUGGGCGAAAGCCUGAUCCAGCAAUGCCGCGUGAGUGAAGAAGGCCUUCGGGUUGUAAAGCUCUUUUGUCAGGGAAGAAACGGUGA